Molecule: non-coding RNA, 137 nt
Organism: Nemania abortiva
Lineage: Eukaryota; Fungi; Ascomycota; Sordariomycetes; Xylariales; Xylariaceae
Source: the annotation of a GenBank genome assembly
GCCCAUCUAGCGUAAUGGAAAACGCGCCCUGAGAGUGCUGAACCGGCGACUGCACUACCAAAAGAAAGUAAUACCGAGUAGGAGGAUAAGCCCGACGGAGCCUUCAGGGAGUCUUGGUUCGAUUCCAAGGGUGGGCA